Molecule: unclassified non-coding RNA, 326 nt
Filed under: Hevea brasiliensis (rubber tree)
Lineage: Eukaryota; Viridiplantae; Streptophyta; Magnoliopsida; Malpighiales; Euphorbiaceae
Source: RNAcentral
AGGUGCACAACUUAUGGAGAAACAGAAAAACGAAGAAGCCAAACAACCCAGUUGCAAUUCAAGGUGGAGUCAAGGAGAGGGUGGAGAGGUAUGGUGUGAAAAUGGCUUCCCAAGGUUAGUUCAGAGGCCUCGAGAAAUCGCUUUGACUGGGAAGAUGAGCAAACGAUGCGCUUGCUUUGCAGAAGAUCAAUUAAGCCAGCAAGGGCUAGAAGUGUAUGAAGGAUGUGAUUAUCUCGCCAAGACUUGCCGUGUUUAACCUGAUGCAAAAGUAAUUGUGUUCUCUUGUUGAUUUUAUGUUGAAACACCUUGAAAUGACUCCAUAAUAG